GGACCUUGGAGCUCAGGGGCCCAGGUUCAAAUGGCCUGUUGAACCUGCGGUACGCCAUUGGGGCUUGAUGAUCAGUUGUGGGCGCUAAUUCGCAAAAUAAGAAAAUAGUGUAUGCAAGAAGUAAAAAGUGGAGCAAAUCCAAGUUUAUACAUGACUAACAGAACAAGUUUAAGAAAACAGUGUGUGCAAGCAGUGAAAUUGGUAGCAAAUCGACGUUUUAUGGCUAACAGAACAUGUUUAAGCUGAAGGAAUUUUGAAUCUAAACCUUAUCAUGUGUGAUGGAUGUGAUGUUUGAUCUAAAGAUCCUUGAAUUUAAAUUACAAACUUAUUGUAUGAUAAAACGUUCCACUAUUUUUUUUAAUGAAAGUAGGUAGAAGGGAUAGCCAUGUUAGCCUACUGUAGAUGAUUAACAGUGCAGUAAGUAAAUAACACACGGCACUUUCUAGAGAAACACAUUUAUUACACAAGCUUUCAUCCAAACAUUGGCAAUAAAUUUGUUAGUCUGAAAAGUGUUAUUUGUCAUUUAGGCCUAUUUAUUAGGAAGUGCAGUAAAACCGUAGAGUCUGUAAUUUAACUGCUAUGCAAAGAGAAGUAUAUAUUUUAAUUAAUAACUUCUAAGUCUAAAGAAAUUAGUAUAGAAAAAUUUUCAUAGAAUAUAUUGUUAUUCAUUAUUUGGAAUGACCAGUAGUGUUUUUUUAAGGGAAAUCGAAGCAAUGUUAAAUUUUUGAUGAUGGGUUAUUGAAGAAAGGAAAAGCAAUUUUUAGUACUAGGUCUAGUGUAAGGGAGAUAUGUCAUUCACAGAACAAAAAACUCUUUUGAUUUCAUAUUGAUUGAGACAAGAUAAGAUUUUAAUGUUAUAUUGUAUGUAGUGACAGUGAAAUGUUCAUUGAGUGUAAAGUAAUGUUUGAAUCUUAUUGUCAGACCUAAAUAUGCAAUAAUUUAACUGUAUGACCAUAAGACUGAUAAAUGUGAAUAUAUGUCAUUUGUUUUAAAGUGCUGUUCCUGUGUUUAUUAAGUAUUUCUUUGCAUAGGAUCUGUCAAUUAGUGAAUUCUUUUUCAAUCGAUAUUGCAUUUAAUUUUCCUCUGUCAUUUUAAAAUAAGCUGUUAAAUUUUCAACUUUUUUUGUUUUGUAUUUUUUCAUUGUCACCAAUUGUCUGCCUAACACAUAGAGAUAAGAAUAUCCAAAUAAUUGGAAUUUAUUUUUUUUAAAUUAUGAUGUAAAUGAGGGGCAUUGACACUUCCGUGAGUAUAGUAGCAAAUUUAACUAUUAAACAUAUCAGAUACUAAAUAUAGAGUAUUUAGGUUUCUUCUAUGCAAUAAUCAUCUCUUAUAAACUUAUAACUAUUAAGUAUUUGUCAGCAAAUUUACAUUUUCUGCCUUUGCACCAUUGAUAUUUUCUGUCAUCUGUAGUAUCAAAUAAAGUGCUCAAUGUUUAGAUUUAUUUUUAGGAACCAGUAAUUAAUCGCUGUGAUGUUCCAUUGAAAAUAUAACUCAAUUGUAUUUUUAAUUCACUUUACCUACUUCAUGUGUAUUUUACACAAAAUAUGUACUAUAGUACAUAUCUUGUGCAAAAUACAGAAGUAAC
This is a long non-coding RNA of Anneissia japonica, 1585 nucleotides long. RefSeq lists it as uncharacterized. NCBI's taxonomy places the organism in Eukaryota, Metazoa, Echinodermata, Crinoidea, Comatulida, Comatulidae. The record is from RefSeq and is a predicted model, not a curated record. The transcript has 4 exons.